GCGGGAAGCAAGCUGAUCCUCUUCGGAGGUGACGCUUGUGGAACGAGCGGCGGACGGGUGAGUAACACGUGGGCAACCUGCCUGUAAGACUGGGAUAACCCCGGGAAACCGGGGCUAAUACCGGAUAAUACUUUUCAUCACCUGAUGGGAAGUUGAAAGGUGGCUUUUAGCUACCACUUACAGAUGGGCCCGCGGCGCAUUAGCUAGUUGGUGAGGUAACGGCUCACCAAGGCAACGAUGCGUAGCCGACCUGAGAGGGUGAUCGGCCACACUGGGACUGAGACACGGCCCAGACUCCUACGGGAGGCAGCAGUAGGGAAUCUUCCGCAAUGGACGAAAGUCUGACGGAGCAACGCCGCGUGAGUGAUGAAGGUUUUCGGAUCGUAAAGCUCUGUUGUUAGGGAAGAACAAGUGCCGUUCGAAUAGGGCGGCACCUUGACGGUACCUAACCAGAAAGCCCCGGCUAACUACGUGCCAGCAGCCGCGGUAAUACGUAGGGGGCAAGCGUUGUCCGGAAUUAUUGGGCGUAAAGCGCGCGCAGGCGGUCCUUUAAGUCUGAUGUGAAAGCCCACGGCUCAACCGUGGAGGGUCAUUGGAAACUGGAGGACUUGAGUACAGAAGAGGAGAGUGGAAUUCCACGUGUAGCGGUGAAAUGCGUAGAGAUGUGGAGGAACACCAGUGGCGAAGGCGACUCUCUGGUCUGUAACUGACGCUGAGGCGCGAAAGCGUGGGGAGCGAACAGGAUUAGAUACCCUGGUAGUCCACGCCGU
Molecule: ribosomal RNA, 770 nt
Filed under: Virgibacillus sp. 8-120-2E
Lineage: Bacteria; Bacillati; Bacillota; Bacilli; Caryophanales; Bacillaceae
Description: bacterial SSU rRNA
Rfam family: Bacterial small subunit ribosomal RNA
Source: RNAcentral